UCCGCUAUUCUUUCCGAAGGCCCCGCCUUCCAUGACACCCAAGCGUGUCUGGAAUGACAGAAUGGUGCUGAUGUGGCAUGAACGGCGGGAGUUGGUCCCUAAAAGGA
This 107-nucleotide microRNA precursor is filed under the name Caenorhabditis briggsae. RNAcentral's name for it is "miRNA-64b". The record is from RNAcentral. Lineage: Eukaryota; Metazoa; Nematoda; Chromadorea; Rhabditida; Rhabditidae.